Molecule: transfer RNA, 75 nt
Filed under: Saccharomyces cerevisiae (brewer's yeast)
Lineage: Eukaryota; Fungi; Ascomycota; Saccharomycetes; Saccharomycetales; Saccharomycetaceae
Description: tRNA-Tyr
Rfam family: tRNA
About the family: Transfer RNA (tRNA) molecules are approximately 80 nucleotides in length.
Source: RNAcentral
CUCUCGGUAGCCAAGUUCGUUUAAGGCGCAAGACUGUAAAUCUUGAGAUCGGGCGUUCGACUCGCCCCCGGGAGA